This is an RNA transcript of Prosopis cineraria, 4700 nucleotides long. It is a transcript of the gene named pentatricopeptide repeat-containing protein At2g39620-like, with no coding region annotated. Lineage: Eukaryota; Viridiplantae; Streptophyta; Magnoliopsida; Fabales; Fabaceae. The record is from RefSeq and is a predicted model, not a curated record. The transcript has 2 exons.
UUAAUAAUAUCUUAACCUCAAGUCUCCGUUGUAGUCGUUGAUAAUCUCGUAGCAUAGUUGUCAAUGGCUCAACAAUUAACGUAUACAUGCCCACAGUAACCGGACAAUAAUUGCAUGCGCUCAUUGGAAAUAUAUGCCGAUACACCAACGCUGCAAAUCAUACAGUUUUCCUCAUUACAUCCACAUUUGGUUUCAUAAGAAAGUUAGACGAGAUAUCAUUGCCGUAUAGUCAUAGAAGGAGGCAUAUGAGAAUGAUAAAAGGGAGGCAUCGACUUCACAGGACCUAUUCUACAGUUGCAAGGACGGUUUCAGAAAUUCCACCUUCAUCCACCACCAAGAGUCUACAAAAGGGCAAUCAAUACGUUCAGCUCAUUCGUGCAUGCAAAGACUUGAAGCUUCUGUUUCAAAUCCAUGGUUGUUUGAUCGUGUCAGGCCUCCAACACGAUCAUUCCAUUAUUGCCCAUAUAAUUAAUGCUUACCCUUUAUUUCGUCAAUGUGGUUUGGCUCGAAUAACAUUUGAUUAUGCGGCAAACCCAACUACGAUUCUGUGGAAUUCAAUUAUUAGAGCUUAUUCUAAGUCCAACCAAUUCCAAGAAGCAAUAAAAAUGUAUCAUAACAUGUUAGAAAGGGGUCUCGAACCAGACAAAUAUACAUUUACCUUUGUUUUGAGAGCUUGUACUGGUGCUCUAGACUUCCACGAGGGUGUUGCAGUUCACCAGGAAAUAGCUUCUAAGCAGUUAGAAUGUGAUGUCUUCAUUGGGACCGGUCUGGUUGAUAUGUACUGUAAAUUGGGUGACUUGGAUAGUGCAAGAAAGAUAUUUGAUAAAAUGCCCAAGAAGGAUAUUACAUCUUGGAAUGCAAUGAUUGCAGGCUUAUCGCAGAGCUCAAAUCUUUGUCAAGCACUGGAAAUAUUCCGGAGUAUGCAAAUGGAGGGGUUGGAGCCCGACUCAGUAAGCCUCUUGAACCUGGCCCCUGCUGUUUCUAAACUAGCGGAUGUCGAUGCUUGCAAGUCUAUUCAUGCUUAUGUGAUUAGGAGAUCUAUGUUUGGUUCUGUUUCUAACUCAUUGAUUGAUAUGUACUCUAAAUGUGGUGAAGUGAAUGUUUCUCGUCGGAUUUUUGAUCAGAUGCAGGUUCAGGAUGAUGUUUCAUGGGCAACAAUGAUGGCUGGAUAUGUGUACAACGGUUAUUUCCUUGAGGUUCUUCAAUUGCUAGAUAAAAUGAACCAAAAAAAUACUAAGAUGAAUAAAGUGGCAAUUGUUAGUGCUCUCUUGGCAGCUGCAGAGAUGAGAGACAUAGAAAAAGGAAAGGAGGUCCAUGACUAUGCUUUACACCAAGGGGUCAUUUCAGAUAUCACUGUUGCUACUCCUAUUGUGAGCAUGUAUGCAAAAUGCGGAGAGUUGAAGAAAGCUAAAACAGUGUUUCUGAGUCUACGUGGAAGAGAUUUAGUUGCUUGGUCUUCUUUUUUAUCAGCUGUUGUCCAAGCGGGGUACCCCACUGAAGCAUUGCGUAUAUUUCAAGCGAUGCAGCAUGAAGGAUUCAAACCAGAUCAUGUGACUCUGACAAGUGUUAUUUCUGCGUGUGCGGAAAUAUCAUAUCUCAGAUUUGGUAAGAGCUUACACUCUUUUGCUGUUAAAGCUGAUAUGGAUUCCGAUAUCUCAACAGUGACAACCCUUAUCUCAAUGUACGCUAGAUGUGAAUCAUUUACUUAUGCCAUGACUUUAUUCUACAAAAUGGAUUAUAAAGAUGUAGUGACAUGGAAUACUAUAAUUAAUGGAUUUACCAGACAUGGUGACCCAUGUGAUGCACUGCAAAUGUUCCGUAGAUUACAGUUAAGUGGGACUCAACCAAAUGGGGGAACAAUAGUAGGUUUGGUUUCAGCUUGCACUCUCAUAGUUGACCAAGAUCUAGGCAAAUGUUUCCACGGGAUAACCGAAAAGAGUGGAUUUGACUCUGACACUCAUGUUAAAGUUGCUCUAAUGGACAUGUAUGCCAAAUGUGGCAGCAUUUGCUCAGCUGAGACCUUGUUUUACUCAACCAAGCCUCUGCAGGAUGUGGUAUCUUGGAAUGUGAUGAUUGCAGGCUACCUGCAUAAUAGAUGUGUCAAUGAAGCAAUUUCCACUUUCAAUCACAUGAAGUUAGAAAAUGUCAAAACCAGUUUGGUCACUUUUGUCACCAUCCUUCCAGCUGUGUCAUCUUUUUCAAUGUUAAGAGAAGGCAUGGCUAUUCAUGCCUGCAUAAUCCGAAUGGGAUUUAUGUCCAAUAUUCUUGCCGGUAAUAGUCUAAUUGAUAUGUAUGCUAAAUGUGGGCAGCUCAUUUAUUCUGAGAAGUGUUUUCACGAGAUGGAAAACAAAGACAUUGUUUCAUGGAAUUCAAUGCUUUCAGGUUAUGCAAUGCAUGGGCAAGCUGACAGUGCUAUUGCUCUUUUUUCACUCAUGAAAGAGACAUGCGUCCAAGUUGACUCUGUUUCCUUCAUCAGUGUAUUAUCUGCAUGCAGACAUGCUGGAUUAAUUCAAGAAGCAAUGGACAUUUUCCAAACCAUGUGUGAGAAGCACCAUCUUGAACCAAAUAUGGAACACUAUGCUUGCAUGGUUGAUCUUUUGGGCCGAGCUGGUUUAUUUGAUGAAGUAUUGAGUUUAAUUAAAAAAAUGCCAACAGAACCUAAUGCAGAAGUGUGGGGUGCUCUUCUGGGAGCAUGUAAAAUGCAUUCCAAUGUGACAUUGGGAGAGGUUGCUCUCAGGCGCCUCCUUAGUCUUGAACCCAGAAACCCAGUUCAUUUUGUAGUUUUGUCAGAUAUAUAUGCUCAAUGCGGUAGGUGGACUGACGCAAGAAUGACAAGGUCAAAUAUGAUUGACUAUGGGCUACAGAAAAGUCCAGGAUGUAGUUGGUUUGAACUGCAUAAACUAGGUCCUUUCCUUUCUGACAAGUAAGGAGAACCACCCACAGUUUGAAGGACUGAGUGAGCAUGCAGACAUCACAGAACAGCUUAAUUAGAAAUGGAGAAAAUAGUCACGUGCUGGAGUUAUUUUGUGCUGUGUAAGAUGCCGAUGAAGAAGACAAGGAACCUUUUCUUUAGAAUCAAAGGAAAAGUUUUGCAAUAUAUUUUGCUCAAUAAGGCCCGUUCAAAGGAAAUAAAGAGGAUAACAAUGCUGCUUGAACCAGAAAGUUCCACUCUUUUUGCAAAAUGAUGUUGUUUCAUGAUUGACACGGUUGAGUUCCUCGGAAGAUAAAGGGCUUUGAAGACCAUUUUGCAGAUAACUUGAUUCUGGGAAGUCAAUCACCAAUGGCAGUUGAAGGAAAUGAAUACCAAGAAACCAGAGGCUGAAUAUUGGUCCGUUGUUGAAAUUGUAGAAUAUAAAUGUCUUGUGAGUCUUCUCCUUGAACUUUUAACGAUGAGAUUUAUUUUGAUUUAUGCUUCUUCAAGUUUUUAGUUAUACAGAUUCAUAUUUAUUUAGAAAUUGAAACUAUUUUCAUUCGAGUUUGAGUGACAAAGCUAAAACAGCACUCUGACAUUUAAAUUUUUAUUGGAACUGACCAAAUUAGACCCAUUGAAGACAAAAUAAACUUAAAAAAGAAGUAACAUGAAUCCUUUUAUUCAUCUUUAAAUUGAUUAGUUAAUUGUUGCUUGGCAAAUAAAAAUUUAGAUGUGUUGGAUUUCAAAAACUUGUUAAAGCUAGGACAAGCCUCAUAUUUCAAAAAGUAUUUAUAAAGAUACUUGUAAAUUAAAACAUUGUCUCUAACCCAAUUUAGGCUGAGAGAUAAGAGAAAAUGUUUACCAACGAGAUACUUAAAAACAAGUAAGAAAGAGGAUUGAAUAAAAGAACUCCCUACAAUUGGCAGUUUUAGAUGAGUUGAUAUCAACGGUAAGUCAUUAUUUUGAUGAAUUGUGUCUUCGGAGAGAAGAAGAUCAUGUGAAUUUGAUAGAGCCCCUCACUGUUUUACUAAGACAUAUCAAAGGAAGUCAAAGGGGAAGAAUGACUCUAGUAGAAUCAUGACGAUUGGUCCAGAGGCUUAUCCUUCAGUCUCUAGCCGUAAGGAACAGUAGCAUGUGAUCUUUUGCCAUAAGAUCUUUUGGGAGGUAUGGGCUAAGGGGAAAGCCAUGCUGUCCAUGCUGUGUGUUAUAUUUUAUCUUUUUGCUUGUAUUAAGGGGGUAUCUUUUGUAAGAGAAUGGAGAGGAGAGACUGGCCUCUUGAAUGCCAGAAGGAGUGAACCCUCUUGUGAGGUUUGAGUUUGUAAUAUUGUUACUUUUGUGAUCAUUCAAGGGAGAUAGGGUUUUGGCCAGAAUCAGAGGAAGACUUGUAACUCUGAUUCGCUUUCUCUUAAUUUAUUAAUAUCAAAACUUCAGCAUUUUCUCCUCAUUUAUUAUUAUUACUGUCUUUAUUGCUGUUUCUGUGGAGAUAUUGGUUUGGGUCUUAUUAGAAUUCUUACUAGAUUUUGUUGUGGAAAACCCAUUUUUUGAAGAAUAAGCUUACAGUAAAAUCAUCAAAACAGAAUUUCUCCCUUUUGGCAGGGUAGCAGAAAGAGUUUUACUUGCUGGUAACCAACCAACAGAGAUGUGACUUGUUUCUGUUUCUAAUUUUCAACGCGCAAUACAUACAAUAUUAACUUUUGUGCUUUAAGGCCUCCAGGAUUGAGCCCUGAGCUUUGAAGCAAAUUGAAAAAGCCACUUACAGACACUUUUAUGCUUAUUCAUUCUAACGUUU